Molecule: small nuclear RNA, 107 nt
Organism: Echinops telfairi (small Madagascar hedgehog)
Lineage: Eukaryota; Metazoa; Chordata; Mammalia; Afrosoricida; Tenrecidae
Source: RefSeq, a predicted model, not a curated record
AUGCUUGCUUCGGCAGCACAUAUACUAAAAUUGGCAUGAUCCAGAGGAGAUUAGCAUGGCCCCUGCACAAGGAUGGCACACAAAUUUGUGAAGCGUUCCAUAUUAAA